Long non-coding RNA from Tyto alba (common barn owl), 3469 nucleotides. RefSeq lists it as uncharacterized. The transcript has 2 exons. NCBI's taxonomy places the organism in Eukaryota, Metazoa, Chordata, Aves, Strigiformes, Tytonidae. The record is from RefSeq and is a predicted model, not a curated record.
AGCGCUGAGGCGCCGUUCGCCCCGCCCGGCGGGUGAGGGACCGCGGGCAAAUUCCCGCCCGGGCGCCCCCGGCGGCUCCCCCGGCGGGAGGGCGGCCUCAGACGGCGGCGGGGUAGAAAUCGUUCGCGUUGUUCUACCAACGCGAACCGCUCGGCUUCCCCCGCAGAAGUAGCCUGGGUGCGGCGAGCGCAGCCACCCGCCCUGCACCGCAGGUAAAAACACUGGGGGCUGCUUUCCCCCCUGGAACCUGACUUUGCUUUGCACGUACUUCCCCCCGCUCCCAGGCGCCAAUCUGCAAGUCUAUCGUAGUACGAGUGACACAGACGGAAAGGCAAGGUAAUGAGGUAAUUCACAACGACAUCCUGAGAAAAUUCAUCUGAUCCUGGGGCUGGCCAGGAUUUCACGAAUACGACAGGUCUGGUGGCUGAAUGUAACAAUGUAUUUCUAAAAAAUGAAAAGAUAUGGGAGCCGAUGGUAGUAAAACCAGAAACAGUACCAACAUUAACAUUUUAAGUGGCUAGAAGGUAACUAACUUUUCCGUUGAAGUGCCUCAGAACUUUCAGGCUUGAAGAGAAAAAAGGUGGGGGGGAAAGGGGAAAGGAAAAAUAAAUACAUGUCAAGCAUGAUAAAAUAACACCAGAUCUGCGAAGCAGUAUUAGAAAGAAUCCCGAAGUCACCAUUUUUCCACUGUCAAAUAUAAGCCUGUCUUACAAGUCCUCUACUAUAAUAAGCAUACCCAACAAAAACAGAACUGAGUGAAAAGUAUGCUUUUUACAAACAACAAACGCGCUAGCACAACAGUUGCCAAUCUGUUACAAGAAGCUUGAAGUCUUAUUACACACUUUGUACAAUACUGUUUUAUUUGGAGUGAAAGGUCACUUCGUGCUCAACUACUUAUGUCCAUGUGCUACACACCCUUAAGGCUGAUAAUGUACAUCAACUUGCAAAAAACAGUAGGAACAAGAAAGCAGGAGGGGAAAAAACUAAUGAUAUACUGGUACCUGAGAAGAAUGUUUCAGGUUAACUCUUUCCUGUAGAUUUAAGAAUUUAGUGAAUGGAGUAAUUUUUACUCUAACAACUGUACCACAGUCUCAAUGUUGGGCAAUGGAACACCUAACCAGAAAAACAGGAUUCAUUGCUACUGGUGGUGUGCAUAAUCUCAGACAAUUGGUUGAAGCAAAGUAUGUCACAAGUUGCUUCUGAUUUUGAAGUUAUCCCAAGUUAGGAACUCAGCCUGAUCUUCCCAACAGAUGCAGAUGUAUCCACGCAGUUGAAAUGAGAGCGGCUGAACCUCGCUGCCAAUGAAAAACAGACCAUUGGUAUUUAGCCCUGAGCACCUGAACUUUACAGGAUGCACAGUCAUAACAUUUUCAGAACCCAGAUUCUCUUGUUACCUGCCUGCUUUACAAAACAGCCCUGAGGAUUAGUUAACAUGUAAAGCUCUUUUCAAAGCACAUUACAGUACCAGUUAUUAUUAAUAGUAAUUAUUAUCAACGUGGGUAAAGUCCUUACUAAUUGAGGCUUUGAGUAUCAGUUCCACAGAGACACCCACUCUUGGUUCUUGCUGAUGUGCCAUAAUGCUUCAGGCAAAUAACUGAUUCUUUGUUUGCCACCAGUUGUAGUAGUUACAACAAUGCUCUUUUUUGGUAUGAAGCACUGUUAUUUCCUCAUUAGGGAGAGAGUGAUUUUUUCCAAAUACAGUCCUGUUAACUCUUGGCAGCCACUGAAGAAUCAGCAGCUCUCAGCUGUUGUGUUUUACUCUAUUGUCCAGAAUGCCAAGCAAAAAACAACAGCAACAUCAACAACAAAAAAAUCACCAUUCCAGCUACAUACUUGAGCACAUAAACCUCUAGUACUUGUUUUGGCAACUUUCCUUACAAGAUCAGUAUAUAUGCCAACUUUUUCACAUGUCUACUUGUUUCAGUUAUGUCUUAUGCAAUAUCAUAAAACUGAAUUUAUUUGUUAAGCCACCUCUUUGUUUUGCAGUGGAUCUGUGUAAAGCCUGCCGCUAACUGUUGAACAAGGGGAUGGAAGAGAAUUUAUCGAAAAGAAAAGCUUUUAAACCACUUGACAGUCUACAUAUAACUCACCCUAUUAAUUCUUGAGCUCCAGCUCCAAGAGUUCUGAAUAAUCACCAGUGACUUUGUUUUCCAGGCACUGCAAUUAGAAACCAUCUGACUUUCACACCUUCCAACUUCUUGUUACAUAAGUAAUCAGUUCACUUCAAAAGAAUCAUUGUUUGAAAGUUUUCCCUUUUCCUUCUUUUGAGGCAUCUCCUUCAAAAGAAAUAAUUUCCAAUUUCUAAAGAUUAACUGCCUAGUUUCAGUAUUACAGUACUUUGAUUCUCAAAUAUAUUCAUCAUUCUUGGAUCAUACUAAGUCAUAAAAGAUACAAAGUUGAGAGUUAUAGGUGAGUUGUAAUAUAUCUAAAAAUAAUUUUUUGAGUCCUGAAGCAGUGCAAAAAUACAUAACUAUGCUAUUCCUCUUUAAAAAGAAUCUGUGUUAUAGAUUGCACUUUUAAAAGCACACAAAACAUCAACCUGUCACUGUGCAAGUCACUGAAACAGCCAGCUCAAAACUCCCUGAGAAAAGAUGUUACCUUGUCAUCUCCAAAGGAUUAGCCUACUGCAUUGAUUUUUAAAGAGAAAUACCGUAUCAGGUAAUGGCACCUGUCAAAAGAAAAGGUAGGGAAAAGUAUUCAAGAGAUGAGAUUUACAGAAUGGAGUUGAAAACUAGGCUUAAGCCUUGCCUGAGGACAAGAUUUCAUGUAAUGUAUCAGAAUGACUUGGUGAUAGCAUCACCCAUUUUAAACCUAAGUUCUCAGUAGUUGCAAAAAAGACAGUAUGAGUAUAAAGCAAGUGGUAGAAGUAGACCAAAAGUCAAAAAGAGUGUCCUUGUUGAGAUUUCUGUCUAUGGGUGAACUUCAAAAAAAGGCUUGAGGGCAGAGAAAAAAGUGCCAAGGAUGUGGACAUGCUCUACCACCUAUGCCGAUAUAUGCCCUAUAACUGCAAUUCUAAGCCAACAAAUGGAUGCAUGUAACCAAGUUCCUUUAAGUAUCUCACAAGCAGACUGUACUAGGUCAGAUUUUUGAAAGCAUGGCAAACUCCCCAAUUUUCUGUAUGAUCUUAAUUUUUUUUUUCCCAUUGGAAAUCUAAGGGACUUGGGGCCAGUGAAGUGAGAAAACAGAAUGGGUAACUUAAUUUUACAAUGGAGAAGCAAAACUGCUCAGAGUCAGUAUUUUCUUCAAUGAAGGAGACUGAUAGCCAUUUCCUCCCCAUUGAAGCUCCAUGCUCAGAGAAGGUACAGUCCAUAAACAUGUCCUACCCUACAAAAAGGCAAGCUUUAAAAUCCCAUUGUACUAUUUGCCUAGAAUGUACUGAAAGCUAAGUGGGAAGAAGCAGGACAUAAAUUGCCUUAAUUAGUGUGCUAUAGUCCCGUGAAUAAAACUGUUGUGAGCCUGUGAGGCCAAA